ACAAGGAUUACAGAUGAGACUCCACCCAAUAACAAAGACUCACUGAUGACAUACUCCGAUAUAUUAUUCCCAUAGCAGCUAUUAUUACUAGUAACUCUUAAAUGGCAUCAAACCUCACUCAAAUGACUUCACUCCGAGGCCACGGCCGGCUCCGCUGCAGCCUCCUCGGCGGCGGCCGGUGCAGCGGCUUCUUCGGUUGCCGCCUCCGGCUCCUCGACCGUCGGAUCCGUGGUCUCCUCAGCUACGGGAGCGGCGGCCUCGGGUUCAGCCUCCGGCUUUGCCUCCUCGGUAGGCUCCGCUGCUGCCGGUUCGGCCUCGGUGGCUACGGGCUCGGCCGCGGGCUCUUCAGCCGGCGUCUCCUCAUGCUCUGCUGCUGCUGCUGCUUCUUCUGCUGGGGUUUCUUCUUCUUCUUCUUUGGGCUCGUCGACGGCCGGAGCAGGAGCAGGUUCGGCCUCGACGGCCGGCGCAGGUGCAGGUUCGGCCUCGACGACAGUAGCAACCGGGACAUCAGCCGGAACCUCAACGACAGGAGCUGAUUCGACCUGCAUGAAGACAACAGAAGGAGACAUUUAGCUCUAACUCGGCCGUGCAUCGGUGUGGAUGACGACUGAGCAUGCAGAUCCAGGAGCUCUUCCUAGGAAUCACAUCUUUCUAGCAGAUCUAAAGUAGAUGCAGGCAGAGUUCAACCCUCACUCCAUCUACAACCGAGUGUUCCCGAGAAGAGAGAUAACAAGUGAGUUCAUGCUCUCUUCAGGUUCGGAUAGCUACACCAGACAUGAUCGAACCUGAGAUCAUCGAUCUGAUCUCAAGUAAACCCCCUCCCCCCACACACACAACACAACCUACUCUUUUGCUGAUCUGAUCUGAUCUCUAGGCAGGAGGAUCAUGACAGAAGCCAAUUGCAGCUGAUGGCUCAUAGGACAAGGUCGUGGCUCACCUCAACAGAAGCCAUGGGAGAAGGUGAGAAGAGCUGAAGGAGAACAAGAGUGGAGCGACAAGUGAUCUACCAAAGCAGUGGGGUGGGAGAGGUCAUUGGGGAUGGAAGGGUAUUUAUACAGAGAUGCAAUGGCACUCAGAAUCUUUACAGACAACCAGCCACGUACGAUUGGCUGGAUCACACCAUUAGUUUACUCUCCCAUCUCCGGUCAUCCACGCACCUUUUGCCCAUCAGUGUGUGUGUAUUAUUUUGCGUGAUGCACUCCCAGCUAUAAUGGAUUGAUAUGUGCACUCCCUCCAUCUUUGGAUAUAUGCUACUGUGUUGGUAAUAUGAACAGAAAUUAUCUUAGUAAUUCGCAAAUUAUGUAAACGCGAUGAAUUAUUAUUAUUAUUGACUAUAGUAAACAAGAUUACAUAAAAAAUCUCAUACGAUUUUG
This 1373-nucleotide long non-coding RNA is filed under the name Musa acuminata (dwarf banana). RNAcentral's name for it is "long non-coding RNA (MACU_LNC003539)". Lineage: Eukaryota; Viridiplantae; Streptophyta; Magnoliopsida; Zingiberales; Musaceae. The record is from RNAcentral.